AUGUAUUACUAUAUGAAGAUUGGGUUGUAACAUAAGCAACCACCAAUGUUCAUUACAAGACUCGACAAUAUAUAAGUACUCCAAAUUACAAAAGAAAAGAGACAACAUAUAUAUAUAUAUAUAUAUAUAUAUAUAUAUAUAAUGAUGGAUCAAACUCGAUAGAUAAAUCCAUCUUAUUCUUCAUCUCCACAAGCCAGAUUUAGCUUUCAUCAACCUUACUGGACCCUG
Molecule: long non-coding RNA, 228 nt
Filed under: Solanum lycopersicum (tomato)
Lineage: Eukaryota; Viridiplantae; Streptophyta; Magnoliopsida; Solanales; Solanaceae
Description: partial TCONS_00156811
Source: RNAcentral